AAGACCUUGCGCUUUUGGAGCGGCCGAUGUCUGAUUAGCUAGUUGGUAGGGUAAUGGCCUACCAAAGCUUCGAUCAGUAGCUGGUCUGAGAGGACGACCAGCCACACUGGGACUGAGACACGGCCCAGACUCCUACGGGAGGCAGCAGUGGGGAAUUUUGGACAAUGGGCGCAAGCCUGAUCCAGCCAUGCCGCGAGUGAAGAAGGCCUUCGGGUUGUAAAGCUCUUUCAGCCGGGAAGAAAAGGCUACGACGAAUAAUCGUAGCUCAUGACGGUACCGGAAGAAGAAGCACCGGCUAACUACGUGCCAGCAGCCGCGGUAAUACGUAGGGUGCGAGCGUUAAUCGGAAUUACUGGGCGUAAAGGGUGCGCAGGCGGUUUUGUAAGUCAGAUGUGAAAUCCCCGGGCUUAACCUGGGAACU
This 421-nucleotide ribosomal RNA is filed under the name uncultured bacterium. Its description in RNAcentral is "bacterial SSU rRNA". It matches the Rfam family "Bacterial small subunit ribosomal RNA", at positions 207 to 622 of the family's 1533-position model. The record is from RNAcentral.